RNAcentral lists this ribosomal RNA (497 nucleotides) under uncultured bacterium. RNAcentral describes it as "partial 16S ribosomal RNA". It matches the Rfam family "Bacterial small subunit ribosomal RNA", at positions 28 to 507 of the family's 1533-position model. The record is from RNAcentral.
GAUGAACGCUGGCGGCGUGCCUAAUACAUGCAAGUCGAGCGAACAGACGAGGAGCUUGCUCCUCUGACGUUAGCGGCGGACGGGUGUGUAACACGUGUAUAACCUACCUAUCAUACUGGUAUAACUUCGGGAAACCGGAUCUAAUACCGGAUAACAUGUUGAACCGCAUGGUUCAACAGUGAAAUUCGGUUUUUCUGUCUCUUAUCGCUGGUUCCGCGCCGCAUUAGCUAGUUGGUAAGGUAACGGCUUACCAAGGCAACGAUGCGUAGCCGACCUGAGAGGGUGAUCGGCCACACUGGAACUGAGACACGGACCAGACUCCUACGGGAGGCAGCAGUAGGGAAUGUUCCGCAAUGGGCGAAAGCAUGACGGAGCAACGCCGCGUGAGUGAAGAAGGUCUUCGGAUCGUAAAACUCUGUUAUUAGGGAAGAACAAAUGUGUAAGUAACUAUGCACGUCUUGACGGUACCUAAUCAGAAAGCCACGGCUAACUACGUG